UUUCAAAGUAGAACUGGAACUGAAACAUUCACAUCCCCAGCAGAGCGUUUUGUUGUAUUAUUUCGAACAGUUUUGUUUCAAAAUUUAAAACUGUUAUACGACGCCGUUCUAUUUGUUGCUGAUAUCAAAUACAAAUUAAAUACGCCAAGGUCCCAUACAAACGGGUCACCACUUUUUGGUUUACCGAAUAAUCAAAUUACUCUACCCUAUUCAUCUGUUUCGCGAUGACAGCCUAGAAUUGCCUGAAAAGAAUUAAACUGGCAACGAUAUCAGAUGAAAGCGCGCUGUGGCCACCCGUUGCUAGAGUGAUCUACCCGUUGGUACAACAAAAGUUUGCUGUUUUUUUAGAAAAAAAAAACUAAGUGCCAAACGAUUUUCUUAAAAUUCAUUUAAAUGCGCGUAGAACAAUCUAUCAAUCAUCCCUCCAUCCGGAUAACGGUUCGGGAUUCAAAAUAAAUUUUGUAUGGAUUCCGUGCAGCUUUUCGUUGCUAUCAACAUUCGAAGUUACAGCAGUAUAUAAUCAAUGACGGCGCCGGUAGUUGAGUGGUAAGCGUGGCCAACACUCGCCCCUUAAUCCCAGGCGAGGUCAUUAAGUUUUUUCUGAGGUGAAAAAAAUCUUGAAACAUUGAAGCAUCCAAAUGAAGAUAAAAAAUAAAAAUGCAUUGAAUACUGAUAGAUCUACUUCAAUACCGGCGGAAGCGAUAAUAAUAAUUGUUCUUGGCCAUAUAAAUCUCGGUGAUAUAAACCAUGCUCUCUAUCAUGGGCAUUGUAUUACAGGACCGGAACUCGAAUGCUGCGGUGGCAAGUAAUACGGCCGGUGGACAACAAGGAAUGCCCCCGAUAGUGCGGAGUAUAGUCUAACCAACGUCACAUGAACUGAAAAUCGACCAGGCCAAUCACAUACCCUUUCUCCAUGAGCCCAACAUAGUGACGAGGAAGAGUAAGGAUUAGGAUAAGGAUAAGGAAGUAUGGUGCCAAUACAUAAACUCUUUUUUUGGUAUGCAUAGUGGAGGAGGUGGCCACUAGGAAGUGGUCAAAUCUCUAGAAACGACGUUAAUAUUUUUGGCUGGCGGAUUAUGUCCUCGCUGAUGCUAUUGUUUUACUCAGCUAUCUAUAUUUGGAGAAGAUACUAAGAGCGUACACUGUUCCCUUUCGUUACCUGACCUGUUAUACGAAGUUUUGGAGUACUAAUCUAUUCAUUAAUCCACUGGCAGUAUCUACUUCAUACAAAGCCAUCGUACUAUUGUUUUAUUAGUGAUAUAUGUACUGCCUAUAAUCGGCAGUCAAUCCGAUGUGGAUAGGGAUUCCGAUAGAACAUAGAACUGACUUGCGAUUAUGGGCAGUAUAAAAAAAAACAAUCGAUUAUUUAAAUGGUAACAACAUUAUCAACCAAGGAGCGAAUUACACGUCAGCUAGAUCUUAUCGGGAUAAUAUGCCAAGUAGGGUUCGUCGCGGUUGCGGUAAUUACCGCAACCGCGCGGUAUUUACCGCACCGCUAAAUCCGCGGUGCGGUGAGACACCUUUUCCCGCAGAUGCGGUGCGGGAAAUGCGCUUUUGCCGUGCGUAUUACCGCAACCGCACGCAAAGCUCUCUGUCAGAAUGUUCGAGUUAUACUUUUCACUCUACAAUAGAGAAACAUGAACAAAACAUUGAAUAGCCAUAGUUUGAUUAAAAAUACGAAUAUAAUCUGCAAUCAAAUUUAUCGUUGCUUGAUUUUGUUACAUUUUGAUUGUUCUAACUUGAUAAGCAAACUGUUAUUAGCGGAGAAAAUCUAGCUGCGUUCAAAAUAAUUUGGCACCAUUAUUUUUUUUAACAUAUUAUGGACACCAUUUUUUUAUACUUCUGAGCAAAACUUUACAAAUGAACCAUUUUAAAUACAUAAAAUGAUUCUUCCAAAUGGAUACAAAAUUAUUAGAUCAUUAAAAACAAUUAAAUUGUACUCUUAAAUCCAAUUUCAAAACGCAUGACUUCUCCCGAUUCCUCUUGGCACUCGUGGAAUCAUUAUUCGUUUUCGAUAUCAAUUUUUUCAACCGUGAAUUUUGAUUUGAAGCAACCAAAUUACUAAAUAAAACUAGUGAUGCUGAGUCUUAAAGACAAACCAAAGAAUGUAAUUAUCUUCAUCAAACCAAACAAAUUUGGAGGAAUUGGCACCAAAGGAGACAAAUGUAUGAAAAGCUUCUUAAAUAAGGAGCGGUCCAAAUUAGGCUUAUUACUCUAUUCGUUCUUCUUGUUCCUGUAGGGUCGCCCUCAAGAAUCAUUUUCGCCGGGUCGUCGUCCGACAUUCUUACGACGUGUUCAUCGCAAAGCCCCCCUUUAUACUAAAACACAUCUCAAAGUUAGCUCAGAUAACAAAAAUUCACAUAGACACCUUUUGCCAAAGAAAAAUAUUAGGAAAAUUGCAUUAAAUACUAAUACUUUCGAAUAGCCAGUUCAUACCUUUAAAGCGAAAAAUUUUAGUAUUUGAAUUCUCCGUUUCAUGAAAGUCAUACUUUUUUGGAGUUUUUCUAAUAUUCAUUAACUACCGAUUGAUAUUAGAUGGAUUCCUGAUUAGAAUUU
This is a long non-coding RNA of Topomyia yanbarensis, 2556 nucleotides long. RefSeq lists it as uncharacterized. The record is from RefSeq and is a predicted model, not a curated record. The transcript has 4 exons. NCBI's taxonomy places the organism in Eukaryota, Metazoa, Arthropoda, Insecta, Diptera, Culicidae.